This 629-nucleotide long non-coding RNA is filed under the name Ficedula albicollis (Collared flycatcher). RNAcentral's name for it is "lncRNA (ENSFALG00000027459.1)". Lineage: Eukaryota; Metazoa; Chordata; Aves; Passeriformes; Muscicapidae. The record is from RNAcentral.
CAGGUGAAAUUUAGAGAGGUAUAAAAGGUGUCCUGUUAUUUAGAAGAUUGGUCUCUUUAAUGCUUGCCUAAAUGUAACUAGAUUUCACAAGUUUGCCCUAUUUUCUCAAAAGUAGAAACGGUAAUGUGGAGUUGAGUGUAAUAAUGGUGUUCUCAAGAGCAGAAGGUGCCAUAUAAUUUAAAGUCUUAAGAGCUGCUGUGUCUUGUCUUAGGGUUUCACUAUACCACUAUGAACCACACCAAGCAAAGAGAAAGAAAGCAACUUACAUCAGGGAAGGACUAUUGGGCCUGGAUGGCCAUGUCUCAAGGAGCAGCUCUCUCAGUUUGGUAAGCAUUUCACUUCAGGGAUUCUUUCAGCAUAUGAAGGGAUGCUACAGGCACCACAGCUGGUCAGAAAGGCUCUUAAGGUAGGAGCUGUCAGCAGAGUUGCUAGAGUGGGUAUGAGAGUCAGAUAAGGUGUGCACAUUUCCCUCUGUCAGUGUCCUGGUUUGAAGGACAGGUGUCUGCCAAUAAGACAGAAGCUUCUCUUUGAAAUGGAGAAUGUAAACCCCCUUCCUCCAAAUUAUUAUUAUAAUUUUGAAAUUAAAGGGCUCUCAGGCAAAGAUAGGGGAAUUAGGAAUAACAAUUCUU